This 318-nucleotide small nuclear RNA is filed under the name Erinaceus europaeus (western European hedgehog). Its description in RNAcentral is "7SK RNA". It matches the Rfam family "7SK RNA". Rfam says of the family: 7SK was discovered as an abundant small nuclear RNA in the mid-70s but a possible function has only recently been suggested. Two independent studies have found that 7SK RNA binds the CDK9/cyclin T complex (known as elongation factor P-TEFb). Lineage: Eukaryota; Metazoa; Chordata; Mammalia; Eulipotyphla; Erinaceidae. The record is from Rfam by way of RNAcentral.
GGAUGUGAGGGCGAUCUGGCUGCGACAUCUAUCACCCCAUUUAUCCCAGAGUUGAUUCGGCUAAUCUGGCUGGCUAGGCGGGUGUCCCCUUCCUCCCUCACCUCUCCAUGUGCGUCCCUCCGGAAGGACAGCCUUCCCCGAAGAGACUGACUGUCUUAGGCUGAGGGUAUACAAGUAGCUACCAUGCCCUGCUAGAACCUCCAAACAAGCUUUCAAAUCAAAUAUUUUCACUCAGCCCCAUCGAAGAGCACUGUCUCAUCUCCUCUAGCAUCCUUCUCUACCAAAAUUUCCUUGCUUACUACAAAGCAGUAAACUUUU